CUUAGAAUAAUGUUUAUUUAAAGUUACAUUUCAGAGUAAACCAUCUUCAGGAGGGCAUGCAGCUUAUGUUGGCUACUGCAAUACAUCCAGAAAUUUUAAUAAAAUCCUUCUGAUAUACUAUAAAUUACUAAAGUACUAUAGAUAGGCACCUGUAUUACAUACAAUCUUCAAAUAUUUUCAAAACUUAACAUUAUGUAUUAGUUGAUACUUAAAAUGUUAAGGCCCCAGACAAAGUAACUGAACGGUUAAGAAUGUGACAAAAAUGAGAUGCUUGUCUCCAUGAUCUUUUGAGAAACCAUUUCAGACUCUAAACGUCAUGAUCCAACCAUAGUCCAGGGGCCUCCUGACGAUGGCUGUAUUAGGUUGCAAAUCACCUUUCCUGUGGAAAGGGCAGAUUUCAAGAUGGCAACUGCUGUGUCAUCAUUUUCCUGCUAAGGACUCUAUCAGAAAUCCUUCAGAAAACCCUGCCCUAAAUGCGCUUUGUUUUCCCACUGCAGUUUUCCUUCUCUCCAUUAGAUGGCAGUAACACACCACCAUUUUCUUCCUAUAGGGUCAGAAAUUAACGUGGGAAAAAUUAAGGUUCACUGCAGGCCAAGUUUCUCCAAGUAAACGGGGUACAAAAAUUGAAGAAGACAAUAAAGAAUGAUUCUAAAUAGAUCACAAGGCCAAGAUAGUGCUGGUUAUGGGAAAUAAGAAAGAGACAACUAAUGAAUAAAAGACAUUUGUGAGAAAGGUAUCAAAUAAAUUCUGCUAAAUAUUGUAUUAAAAGGAUCGGGAGAGAAGGGAAAUGAAAUAUAUACCCCCUAGACUGAAGGAAAAAUGAGCCAUUAACCUUUGACUAAAAAAGGACAUUUUAAUAGACUAGAAAAGCUACUCUCAUUUAAAAAGCAACUGAAGAAUGUCUCAAAUGCUCAGCUGUUCUUCUGAAUUAAGUAUUAAGAUUUACUAACAGUGGCCAUUAACAGAGUAAUUACAUAGUUAAAAUGACCCAAUUAAAAAAUAUGGACUAUAUUCCCAUCUAUCUCAAAAACAUCUGGCUGGCCCUAUAAAUUAUCUGCCCACACUCCCCACCCUGUGGCAGAGGUCAAUAAACGAGUAACUAUUCAGCAAAACAGGGAGACUUAAAGCAGCAAAGAAGAAAGGCUCUUUUGAUAUAUACUUCUUAAGAAAAUACUUUGGAUAACUACAAA
RNAcentral lists this long non-coding RNA (1190 nucleotides) under Bos taurus (domestic cattle). Its description in RNAcentral is "long non-coding RNA NONBTAT017931". Lineage: Eukaryota; Metazoa; Chordata; Mammalia; Artiodactyla; Bovidae. The record is from RNAcentral.